Long non-coding RNA from Octopus sinensis (East Asian common octopus), 1068 nucleotides. RefSeq lists it as uncharacterized. NCBI's taxonomy places the organism in Eukaryota, Metazoa, Mollusca, Cephalopoda, Octopoda, Octopodidae. The transcript is spliced from 2 exons. The record is from RefSeq and is a predicted model, not a curated record.
AGUAGCUCUGCCAUUGCCAUGGCAACCACUGCCGCCGUUCCGUUUUCUCUCUGUUUUUGUUGAUGGAAGUUUUUUAUUUCAACGGUUUCGAGACGAACGAAAUAUUUACAACAACAAAAAAAAUAGGACCACAGGUCAUCCCCGAGCCUUGGGCUCAUAAGACCGGAUUCUGUGGCAUAUAUAUUUCCCAGCGGGAAGGGAAACCGGUCCGUUGCAGGAUCACACAUUUUUGUCAGCCGCGUGGACUGGGGCAACGUGGAAUGAGGUGUUUUGCUCAAAAACACAACGAAUCGACAGGUUCAGGAAUCGAAACCACAAUCUUACAAUCCUGAGUGUAACACCAUUACCAUUAAGCCACGCGCCUUCACCUAAAGCAAUUCUGUUUGUUUGAGGACAAAUUAGUUGGAUAAGCGUUGCCUUUCAUUUAUUUUAUUUUUAAAGACAAUGCCGCAGUUCGCUCCCCGUAUUUGAUAUUUGGAAAUUUACUGGAAACGUUCGAGGUUUCCCAUUUGGAAUGGCCUGAGUUUUGGCCGCUCCGUUCUUUAAAUGUAACACCACCCUUGUUCAAAAUUGCCAUUCUUCCCUCCGAAGUGGCCGCUCUGUGUGGUCGGCACGCCUCACGCUCAUCACUGUUAAUACACGCUAAGCUUCUUUUGAAUUUGGUGGCCAAAAGUUAUCUGAACGAUCGGGUUUGGUGGUCAUAAGUAUUAUCGUGGCUAAGAAACACUCAAUACACACACUGAUUACUUCCAGUGAAAACUCGAAUUAUUUUCAGCGGUAAAAUCAAAUACAAAGUGCUCAAUGACAAUGCUGGUGUGUUGCGUUUGAUUUCGUUGAUAGAUAAUAAUUCCAAGUUGUGAGCGACGGAGAACAAGGUGCUAAAAAGCAGUGUCGCCAGAACAGGCCAAAUGUCCCAUCAGCCAUGCCAAAUUGCCAAUGCCAAAACAGCUGCUCCUAAUUGUCUCAUUCUGCAGUAGCAUGGAAUGUAUUUGAGCCUUGAAUAGAUUUGGAGGAAUUUGAAGGUUAAAAUAUUUCACUCUGAACAAUAGCUUUGUGAGUUAAUUGCAU